This 71-nucleotide transfer RNA is filed under the name Heterocephalus glaber (naked mole-rat). It matches the Rfam family "tRNA". Rfam says of the family: Transfer RNA (tRNA) molecules are approximately 80 nucleotides in length. The record is from Rfam by way of RNAcentral. Lineage: Eukaryota; Metazoa; Chordata; Mammalia; Rodentia; Bathyergidae.
GGGCAUGUAGCUCAGUGGUAGAGCACUUGCCUAACAAGCAUCAGGCCCUGGGUUGAUCCCUAGCAUUGUUA